UAGAGAGAGGGUCACGGGUGGUACGAAGACAGUUGGAAAGAGAUAGGUCAAGGCACUGACACCAGUCUCAUGAGCAGAACAGGGCAACUGGUCAAGGAUGCUCGUUUUGGAAAGAAGUGAGGCCUGCAUCUGCCUGGCUUGGGGCAAGAAGAAAUGGAAGGGGCAACUCAAGGGGCCGCUGAGAAUUCCACAAUGGUGCAAACCCAUUGAAACCUUGUCUGGGAAGUGUGGGAAGCAAGCAGAGUAGAGGCAUCAUGGCCUGUGCACUCUUGGAAUGCCAGGACCACUUGCUCAGGGAUGGCACCUUCCACCGUGGGAUACUGGAACCCUCAAGCAUCAGUUAUUAAUAGAGAAAAUGUCCCAUAGACUUGCCUCCAGGCCAAUCUGAUGGAGGUAUUUUCUCAAUUGAGGUCCUCUCUUCCAAGAUAAGCUCAGCAACCUCUGAUCAGCACACAGGAGCAAGACAGAGGAGGCACCAAAGGCAAGUGGAGGGAAUAAGGUGGCUGAGUCAGUUCCAUUUCCCAGAAUGCACUUCCUUCUCCAUCCCCAUCUGCCUCUCUUUUCUCUUCAAAGCUGGGCGCUCCAUCACAAACAGACCCUACUUUUUAGUUUUCUUUGGCAUUUGCUUUUCUACUUGAGCCCAGAAUACUGAGAGGUGUCUGUCUUGUCAAAUCUAUACUGCCAUUGGUUGGUUUGGUUUUGUGUUUGUUUGAUUUGCAUCUACCUCAAGACACUCUAUAGGGGGCUGAGAAGUCAUUCUUGGUUCCCAUAGUGACAUCCCUAGUGGCUCCUGGGGCUUCAGAAGAUGUGAUAUUUAAUGGAAGGAGUCCCUCUAUAGGUCCCCCCACCCCCCACUCCUGAGACCCAUCUCUAACCUGCCCUGUAUCCAAGAUUUGACUAGUCCAGUGGUUAGCCAGCAGAGGGCACCCUGGCUUCAUCUGUAGUUUCUUGGGUCUCUUCUCUCCCUCUUGAUGACCCUAGUAGCAGCAUGCUCUCUGGACAUAACUGCAGCACCAGGCUGCUCUCGGUCAGGGUGGAAGGCAGGGUGGAAGUAGGCUCUUCUCUGCCCAGCCUGCUCUCUGUGGGAUGUAGAACAGAGAAGGUUCCAAAGAAGCAGAACAGCCUAGGCUGAGAACACAGAUCUAGUUUCGGCUUCACCCUCCCACCAGACCAGCUGUGUGAUCACAAACACCACACAUUUCUAGGCUGCUCACCCAUCAGCAUCCUGUGGGGCUCAUCCUUCCCUGCCUGGUGUAAGACACAUCAACUCUAAACCAUUCUGGCCUGAGAUGCUACUGUUUAAGACUAGUGAGGGUGCUGGACCUUGGCUUUGGGGGCUUCCAUCACUCUUAAAAGAUCAGAGUCAUGGGAACACAACCUCCUCUUGAUGUAGACGGAGGUCCUGAAGUGGGCGUUUUCCAGCCCCUUCCCAAGGCCACCUGUGCACAGUGACAGGGAUGACGCAGCCAGUCCAGGAGAUAUUGCUGCUUUCCAGAAAGACCCCUCAAGAGCACCCACAUAAGGAUGGCGGAGACAGGGUGGGGUGGGGUUUGUGCAGUGCCUGUUAACUAUCAAAAUGCAUCAGACAGCACACUCUGUUGGUUCUGGUGACAUGACAAUCCCCUAACAGUGGGAAAUUCCUGGAGAAGGGUUGCAUAUCAGACAGGGCCAGGGCCUGGUGAUCGUUUAGUGCUACAGGUGUUGGGAGGCAGGGUGUUUAGUUUUCACGACAUCAAACUCAUUUCAAAAAUGAGAGAUUGCCCAGAGGUUCAAAGCACUGACCAUUGUUUGAGAGCACCCCGGUUUGACCCCUAGCACCCCCACAGUGACCCACAAGCCUCGGUAACACCAGUUCUAGUGUGUUGGACAAUCCUCUUCAGGCAUCCAUGGGCACUGCACACAUAUGAUGAAUAGAUGUGCAUGGAUCUAACACAUGCACUAAAUAAGUCAGUCUAAAACACUAGUUUAUUGUCUUUAAAGUUACAUUUAUCGACUGGUUGAGUGUGUGGGGGCAUAUGCAUAUGUACAUGGCACACGGGUGUGGAGCUUAGAGUAAAGCUUUUCAAGAGUUGGUCUUUCUUUCCACAGUGUAGGUCCUGGGGCUCAAACUCAGGUUCUCAAGCCUCAGGGUAGGCUCCUUUCCUGGCUGAGCCAUCUUACCUGCCCCUAAAUCAAAAAUUUAAAAGUGACAAAUGUGUUCCCUUUGGUGUGUCUGCCUGUUUUCUUUUUUUUAAAAUUACAUUUGUGUGUGUGUGUGUGUGUGUGUGUGUGUGUGUGUGUGUGUAUUUGUGGCACGAGGGGGGUCUUGCUCAUAUCUAUGCCAUGGUACACAUAUACCAUGAAGUUAGUUGUCUUCAUCUACCAUAUAGGAUCUGAGACUUGAACUUAUGUUAUCAGGCUUGGUAGCAAGCAUCUUCACCCACGGAACCAUCUUGCCAGGCCAGUUUUUGGAAACAAAUGGAAAAUUAGAUUUGGAUGUAUCACCAAAUUAUCAGAAAAAAAAAAAGCAACUCAUGUUUCUGAAUGCAAUUUGGAUAAAUGCAGCUUCCUGAUUGUCACAGGCUUCCCGUGGACGUAAGGGUGAUGUGCUUGGUGGGUCUCAAUAGCGAAAGGAUUGAGGGAGUGGCCAUUGGGACAUAAAGGGCAAGGUACAGCUCCUGGGCUGGGAUUCUCAAUACCAAUUCCUGGAGUGGUAAGGUUGGUUGUUGCCUAAUCGGUAGCCUUCGAGGCCUAGGAUUAGAGCCUCCCACUAUGAAUCAGGAGCAGAGAGAGGCCUAGGGACCCCAGCAGCAGUUUGGCUAAAGCAAAAUAAGGCAACCUUGUGACCAACGGUUAUUUUCUUUGCGU
This is a long non-coding RNA of Mastomys coucha (southern multimammate mouse), 2847 nucleotides long. RefSeq lists it as uncharacterized. The transcript is spliced from 3 exons. The record is from RefSeq and is a predicted model, not a curated record. NCBI's taxonomy places the organism in Eukaryota, Metazoa, Chordata, Mammalia, Rodentia, Muridae.